RNAcentral lists this long non-coding RNA (988 nucleotides) under Canis lupus familiaris (dog). RNAcentral describes it as "lncRNA (ENSCAFG00845016902.1)". The record is from RNAcentral. Lineage: Eukaryota; Metazoa; Chordata; Mammalia; Carnivora; Canidae.
GAAAGGCUCUAGAGAAGCGCCGCGUUAAAGUAGGGAGGAGGGCCCCCCGAAACUGGCUGCCCCGGGGCAGGGCCGGUUGACCCGCGCCUGGGAGGAGCCCCGCGUCCCGUCGCGCCGACCCUGGGCUGGCUGCGUGUGCGUCGGGAGUCGAGCCGCCGUACGCACCAGGAAGUGACUCCCAGCGGCAGAGAUCCACGCUGUCCGCUGGCUUUUUCGUUUGCCGCCUCAGCUGAGAACCGUGUGUGGGGCCAGCCUAACUGAAGGAAAUGUAAACAGAGUGUAAGCAGGACCCUUGUCUGUGGGUAAGUUUUUUCCUCCAAGAAGCUUCUUGGCCCCACCCGGAUCAGACCUACCAAAUAAGUCUGAGAUUGGAACCUCUGAGCAUUUCACGCAGGUUAGCUAUUCCAUCCUAGAGACUUAGUCUACCCUCCUAUCUGGCAGCUCUGGACUCUUGAGUCCCCUUCUGAUUAAUUCCUGAGGCAAAAACUGAGCAGAUGUCACACUUUUUUUUUAAUCCUGAGCAUUUAUUUAAAAUAGGAACACGUGGGAUCCCUGACCUGGGUGGCUCAGCGGUUUAGCGCCCGCCUUUGGCCCAGGGCGCGAUCCUGGAGACCCGGGAUCGAAUUCCACAUCGGGCUCCCCGUGCAUGGAGCCUGCUUCUCCCUCUGCCUGUGUCUCUGUCUCUCUCUCUGUGACUAUCAUAAAUAAAAAAUAAAAUAGGAACACCUUUGAAAAGAAACUAGUCUUUUCUGUGGGCAGAUGCCCCCUCUGACAUCAAGAAACAAACAUAAUUCACUUUGGUAUUGUUAUGCUGCCUUGAAAAAUAUAUUUUACUACAGAAAUUACUAAAUAUGAUGAAAGAGUCUUUACCAGGAGAGAUGACUGGUUGCAAUAGUACAGUGCUACUUUAUUUAUUUUUAAAUUUAUUUUUUUAAAAAUACAUAUAUUUUUACUUAUUCAUGACAGACAGAGAGGCAGAGACACAGGC